UCUUCGCUCCAUCUUCAAAUUUCAUUCUUCGCAAUUUCCAUACCCAUUUUUCUCAAUUUUUAUAAGCGCAGCCCUUAAGAUCGCCUUCCAAACUAUAAAUGGAAGCGUUUUGAGUCAUAGCUGCGCGAUAUCAAAUAAAAUGAACUCGUGCAUCCGCUUGAUUUAUGCGCAGCAAUGUAUAAGAGAUGAUGGAGUAGGUGAUCUCAAGUGUGUGCGAUGGGUCUUGUUCCAUUCAAGCUUAUUCAUAUUCUGAUUUCUCAUUCCUUUGUUUGUAUUAUAAUUUCAAUUGAUUUGAUCUCGAACUUUUAUUUUUUUUGUCAUAUUUCCAAUCUAUUAGAUGAAAAUAUACUAGCAUUUGGUUUUUGGUUU
Non-coding RNA from Salvia hispanica, 369 nucleotides. The record is from RefSeq and is a predicted model, not a curated record. Lineage: Eukaryota; Viridiplantae; Streptophyta; Magnoliopsida; Lamiales; Lamiaceae.